Molecule: ribosomal RNA, 454 nt
Filed under: uncultured bacterium
Lineage: Bacteria
Description: bacterial SSU rRNA
Rfam family: Bacterial small subunit ribosomal RNA
Source: RNAcentral
UACGGAAGCAGCAGUGGGGAAUAUUGCACAAUGGGCGAAAGCCUGAUGCAGCUAUGCCGCGUGUAUGAAGAAGGCCUUAGGGUUGUAAAGUACUUUCAUCGGGGAGGAAAAAACAAAACUAAUAAUUUUAUUUCUUGACGUUACCCGAAAAAGAAGCACCGGCUAACUCCGUGCCAGCAGCCGCGGUAAUACGGAGGGUGCUAGCGUUAAUCAGAAUUACUGGGCGUAAAGAGCACGUAGGUGGUUUUUUAAGUCAGAUGUGAAAUCCCUGGGCUUAACCUAGGAACUGCAUUUUGAAACUGAAAUACUAGAGUAUCGUAGAGGGAGGUAGAAUUCUAGGUGUAGCGGUGAAAUGCGUAGAUAUCUGGAGGAAUACCUGUGGCGAAAGCGGCCUCCUAAACGAAUACUGACACUGAGGUGCGAAAGCGUGGGGAGCAAACAGGGAUUAGAUACC